This 257-nucleotide unclassified non-coding RNA is filed under the name Hevea brasiliensis (rubber tree). The record is from RNAcentral. Lineage: Eukaryota; Viridiplantae; Streptophyta; Magnoliopsida; Malpighiales; Euphorbiaceae.
GAAUUCAGGCUCUGUUGCCCCGAGGUUUCGGGCAAUUGAUAGUUGGGAAGAUCCUGAGAACAGUGUUCCACUCUGUGAACCUUACCAGCCGCAACAUCAGCAGCAACAACAGCUUAUCAGUGAAUACAAGAGAGCCUUAGCAGAGCUCACUAUUAAUUCCAAGCCGAUAAUCACGAAUUUGACUAUUAUUGCUGGUGAAAAUAUGCGUGAUGCGAAGGCCAUUGCUGCUAUUAUCUGCGCGAACAUUCUUGAGAUUC